GGUUGUGACAUACCCAGAGAAUCUCUAUUUUGGCAAUCUUGCAUCAUAUGCCCUGGAUGCCCACAUGUAUAACAAGAAUCGGAACAUGCUCUGUAUUGGCCGAACUGUCCUCUAUCCCAAAUGUCACACCACGGAGAAAAUGACCAUGACUACCCAAAACCUCGCUAUCACUGCAAACACGAUGCACAUGAGCUCGCACAUGUUCUUGAGUGAGUAUAGUGGUCAUACUUGUAACCCUAUAACUGAGGUGGUGGUGGCCUAGGUGGAUUCCUAAGUAUUGGGCCUAUAACUUCGCUGAGACUCCACUUGAGACAUGGAAAAUCACAUCCCCUUGUGCUGCCCUUUCUCACUCCUCUUUGAACCCCGCUGCCGAUGCCUGCCCCAAUCUAUAUUCUGGGCGAAUUGGGGAGAUAUCCAGACUAUCCUUCAAUGCAUCAGUGGCAUAUGCCUCGCCAACUCUUGGGACAACCCUGCUAUAAACAUGUGGAUCCUGUCUUGCAUAUUAGCAACUAUGGAUGGAUCAUAUCUUGCCGAUGAGUCAAAAUGGAGACUAUACUCUCGAGCUUUCAUAUUGCCCUGCUUGAGGGCUACAAGCUGAUCGACUCGAGCCUGUUGGAUCUCCCGCAGUAAGUACUGGUGAAGGAAGGCACCUGGAAAACUCUCCCAAAUAAUAGAGGAGCAUCACGUACACUGGAAAUCUCACAUCCCUUGUACCAAAGGACGCUAUAUCUCAGACUCGAAAAGCUGCUAGUUCAACUGCCUCUUUCUCUGUGGCAAGCAUAACCCGAAAGAUCUUGUGAAACUGAUCUAUGAAAUCCUGUGGGUCCUCUCUCUGAUUUGUCCCCGUGAACUCUAGGGGACUCAAAGUAAUAAACUCUCGAAUCCUUUAACUCCCAGAUCCCUCAAAAGACCCUACACUAGCCGAUGCCCUGGCCUGUUGUUAGAUAGCUACUAACUGUGUCAAGAAAUGAACCACACUCCUCAAGUCCUAAUCUUAUAGAAAUGGAAGGGGGACUAGAUGUACGGUACCCCUAGGAAUCUCCUUUGGUGAUGGAAGAUUCGGCAAUGGCU
Molecule: long non-coding RNA, 1071 nt
Filed under: Nicotiana benthamiana
Lineage: Eukaryota; Viridiplantae; Streptophyta; Magnoliopsida; Solanales; Solanaceae
Description: long non-coding RNA (NBEN_LNC026577)
Source: RNAcentral